This 435-nucleotide ribosomal RNA is filed under the name uncultured bacterium. RNAcentral's name for it is "partial 16S ribosomal RNA". It matches the Rfam family "Bacterial small subunit ribosomal RNA", at positions 29 to 507 of the family's 1533-position model. The record is from RNAcentral.
AACGAACGCUGGCGGCAUGCCUAACACAUGCAAGUCGAACGAUUGCCUUCGGGUGAUAGUGGCGCACGGGUGCGUACCGCGUAGGAAUCUGCACUUAGGUUCGGAAUAACAGCUGGUAACGGCUGCUAAUACCGGCUGAUAUCGCGAGAUCAAAGAUUUAUCGCCUGAGGAUGAGCCGGAGUUGGAUUAGGCAGUUGGUGGGGGAAAGGCCUACCAAGCCGACGGUCCAUAGCUGGUCUGAGAGGAUGAUCAGUCACACUGGGACUGAGACACGGCCCAGACUACUACGGGAGGCAGCAGUGGGGAAUAUUGGACAAUGGGCGCUAGCCUGAUCCAGCAAUGCCGGGUGAGUGAUGAAGGCCCUAGGGUUGUAAAGCACGUUUACCCGGGAAGAUAAUGACGGUACCGGGAGAAUAAGCCCCGGCUAACUCCGUG